Molecule: long non-coding RNA, 648 nt
Filed under: Zea mays
Lineage: Eukaryota; Viridiplantae; Streptophyta; Magnoliopsida; Poales; Poaceae
Description: drought-responsive long non-coding RNA
Source: RNAcentral
CUCACGCCAGUGCCAGCUGAUGAUUUGCUGAUUUGCUUGCAGUUGUGGUCGGCGGUAUCGUCCGGAUGCGGGUAAACGAUGUGCAGAAGAUCCUUCGGGAAGAAGAGGAAGCCGCCGCUACCGCCACGGCCACGUCGCCCCCCAGCGAGCGAGUCCUGAAAGACGAAGAGUAGAACAGGUAAAAAAGGUUGCCCACUUCCUCUCGGCGGACCGAACUGUGUCAUGCGCCUCCGUUGUAAUGUUCAGAUUUUGCAGUCUGCAAUACAAUAGAGAAAUGCUCAAUUAGUUGAUACAAACAGGCCCCAGUUGGGAACUGAAGAUAAUCUACGAUCGCGCUACCUAGCGAUUUCACGCGUUAGAGAGUGUUUAAUUAGCUGAGGAUAUAGUGCCAUCUGGUACUGAUAUGCAAUAUCUGAGGGAAGCUCUAUGUUUAGGUCUACAUGUUUUGGUUAGUUUUGUCAGACACUGGAUAGUUGUGUUUCAACAGUUCACUAUUGUCUGAACACAACAUGAACAUGUGAUCUUACUGAAAAUUUGGGUAUGCUGCUAUUAUUGUAUAAACAUGUUUAAUUUCUUGGUCAUACUUAUGAACUCUCUCUCUCUCUCUCUCUCUCCACACAUUAGGUCAAUACAGUGACAGGGCUGUAC